This 33-nucleotide transfer RNA is filed under the name Phrynosoma hernandesi. RNAcentral describes it as "partial tRNA-Thr". Lineage: Eukaryota; Metazoa; Chordata; Lepidosauria; Squamata; Phrynosomatidae. The record is from RNAcentral.
GCCUCCGUAGCUUAACACUUAUUUAAAGCACUG